UACGUAGGGUGCAAGCGUUAAUCGGAAUUACUGGGCGUAAAGCGUGCGCAGGCGGUGAUGUAAGACAGGUGUGAAAUCCCCGGGCUUAACUUGGGAAUUGCGCUUGUGACUGGCGAGCUGGAGUGUGGCAGAGGGAGGUGGAAUUCCACGUGUAGCAGUGAAAUGCGUAGAGAUGUGGAGGAACACCGAUGGCGAAGGCAGCCUCCUGGGCCAGCACUGACGCUCAUGCACGAAAGCGUGGGGAGCAAACAGG
This 253-nucleotide ribosomal RNA is filed under the name uncultured bacterium. RNAcentral's name for it is "partial 16S ribosomal RNA". It matches the Rfam family "Bacterial small subunit ribosomal RNA", at positions 524 to 776 of the family's 1533-position model. The record is from RNAcentral.